AAAGACCCAUUGCAGAGGAUUAUUAUCAGGAAAUGAAAACUGUGCAAUAGGAAACUAAUGUCUCCUAUGGAUUCUCCCAGAUAAUCUACAUCUUUCCUAAAGUAUGCUGCUUAAAAUUGGAUACAGAACACCAUCAGGCCUCUCCAUCCCCUAAAAGAAGGUGGAUUAGCCAUCGUUAAGGUGAACAAAAUCAGAGAUUAAAGAAGGAGUUUUGCACUGAAAGAGAGAAGAAUAGAUGGACCGAAAGCAUCUGCUUUGCCUGUGAUACAUCAGAGCUUGUUCAGGUUAUCUCCAGACACCAAGAGUGAACACCUUUUGCGACAGUGGGGGAACUUCACUUUGCCUCAGAGCAUUUAUAAACGAAACUGCUGCAGAGCUGCUGGUGUGUGAAGCAGCGCUUCAGGUACCUCUUGCUCCAUGUGCUGGUGUGGUAUGUGCUUGCCUCUUCUUAGGAAAAUGUCAUUUUGAUUUUGCUUCAUUCCUAAUUAAUAGGACUGAGGUUAGAGGGAGGAAUACUACAUAUCUUCACAUUUUCAAUUGA
This 541-nucleotide long non-coding RNA is filed under the name Apteryx rowi (Okarito brown kiwi). Its description in RNAcentral is "lncRNA (ENSARWG00000012811.1)". The record is from RNAcentral. Lineage: Eukaryota; Metazoa; Chordata; Aves; Apterygiformes; Apterygidae.